CCUACGGGGGGCAGCAGUGGGGAAUAUUGCACAAUGGGGGAAACCCUGAUGCAGCGACGCCGCGUGAGUGAAGAAGUAUUUCGGUAUGUAAAGCUCUAUCAGCAGGGAAGAAAAUGACGGUACCUGAGUAAGAAGCCCCGGCUAAAUACGUGCCAGCAGCCGCGGUAAUACGUAGGGGGCAAGCGUUAUCCGGAUUUACUGGGUGUAAAGGGAGCGUAGACGGCAGUGCAAGUCUGGAGUGAAAGGCGGGGGCUCAACCCCCGGGCUGCAUUGGAAACUGUACGGCUGGAGUGCAGGAGAGGUAAGUGGAAUUCCUAGUGUAGCGGUGAAAUGCGUAGAUAUUAGGAGGAACACCAGUGGCGAAGGUGGCCUACUGGACUGUAACUGACGGUGAGGCUCGAAAGCGUGGGGAGCAAACAGGAUUAGAUACCCUUGUAGUC
This 440-nucleotide ribosomal RNA is filed under the name uncultured bacterium. Its description in RNAcentral is "partial 16S ribosomal RNA". It matches the Rfam family "Bacterial small subunit ribosomal RNA", at positions 338 to 795 of the family's 1533-position model. The record is from RNAcentral.